GACUUUAUCGUUUGAGCAUUCUAUUUUGGUGUUAUGGUCGCCUCCAGCAGACCCCAGGAGAGAUCUCUCGGGAUAUCACGUGGGGUAUGGCGUCGGCUUUCCCGAUCUCUUCAAGGUUGAACUUCCGGCUGAUCAGUUAUCGUAUGUCAUCAGAAACCUCAACCCUGGUACGGAGUAUAUCAUCACUGUGCGUGCAUUUAACGCCCAAGGGGAAAGUAUUCCUACCUAUAUCACCGAAUCGACGAAGCCUAAGAGAGAAAAGCCGUCCUCAGUACCUUUGCUACCAGUAGUUGGUCUAAAAGCUGUAGCCCUCUCCUCGUCCAGCAUCAGACUCAGGUGGCAGGACGUUUCUGGGCGAGACACGGACACAACAUAUAGUGUCCGCUACUUCAGCCGGACUGCUAGCAAGCAGGGUUACCAGUAC
Liolophura sinensis is the source of this 424-nucleotide long non-coding RNA. RefSeq lists it as uncharacterized. The record is from RefSeq and is a predicted model, not a curated record. The transcript has 3 exons. NCBI's taxonomy places the organism in Eukaryota, Metazoa, Mollusca, Polyplacophora, Chitonida, Chitonidae.